CAGCAGCCGCGGUGAUCCGUAGGUGGCAAGCGUUGUCCGGAAUUAUUGGGCGUGAAGCGCGCGCAGGCGGAUAGGUCAGUCUGUCUUAAAAGUUCGGGGCUUAACCCCGUGAUGGGAUGGAACUGCCAAUCUAGAGUAUCGGAGAGGAGAGUGGAAUUCCUGGUGUAGCGGUGAAAUGCGUAGAUAUUAGGAAGAACACCAGUGGCGAAGGCGACUUUCUGGACGAAAACUGACGCUGAGGCGCGAAAGCCAGGGGAGCGAACGGGAUUAGAUACCCCCGUAGUCCCUGUCUCUUAUACAC
RNAcentral lists this ribosomal RNA (301 nucleotides) under uncultured bacterium. RNAcentral describes it as "partial 16S ribosomal RNA". It matches the Rfam family "Bacterial small subunit ribosomal RNA", at positions 509 to 810 of the family's 1533-position model. The record is from RNAcentral.